UUGAAGCAUGAUCGUAAGGACAUGUGGAGCGCUUAGAAGUGAGAAUGCCGGUGUGAGUAGCGAAAGACGGGUGAGAAUCCCGUCCACCGAUUGACUAAGGUUUCCAGAGGAAGGCUCGUCCGCUCUGGGUUAGUCGGGUCCUAAGCUGAGGCCGACAGGCGUAGGCGAUGGAUAACAGGUUGAUAUUCCUGUACCACCUAUAAUCGUUUUAAUCGAUGGGGGGACGCAGUAGGAUAGGCGAAGCGUGCGAUUGGAUUGCACGUCUAAGCAGUAAGGCUGAGUAUUAGGCAAAUCCGGUACUCGUUAAGGCUGAGC
RNAcentral lists this ribosomal RNA (315 nucleotides) under Staphylococcus aureus. RNAcentral's name for it is "partial 23S ribosomal RNA". It matches the Rfam family "Bacterial large subunit ribosomal RNA", at positions 1250 to 1561 of the family's 2925-position model. Lineage: Bacteria; Bacillati; Bacillota; Bacilli; Caryophanales; Staphylococcaceae. The record is from RNAcentral.